Molecule: ribosomal RNA, 500 nt
Filed under: uncultured bacterium
Lineage: Bacteria
Description: bacterial SSU rRNA
Rfam family: Bacterial small subunit ribosomal RNA
Source: RNAcentral
AGAGUUUGAUUCUGGCUCAGGAUGAACGCUGGCGGCGUGCUUAACACAUGCAAGUCGAACGGAGUUUACAUGAAACCUAGUGAUUGUAAACUUAGUGGCGGACGGGUGAGUAACGCGUGGGUAACCUGCCGUAUGCCGGGGGACAACAGUUGGAAACGACUGCUAAUACCGCAUAAGCGCACAGGAUCGCAUGAUCCAGUGUGAAAAACUCCGGUGGCAUACGAUGGACCCGCGUCUGAUUAGGCAGUUGGUGAGGUAACGGCCCACCAAACCUACGAUCAGUAGCCGGCCUGAGAGGGUGAACGGCCACAUUGGGACUGAGACACGGCCCAAACUCCUACGGGAGGCAGCAGUGGGGAAUAUUGCACAAUGGGGGAAACCCUGAUGCCAGCGACGCCGCGUGAGUGAAGAAGUAUUUCGGUAUGUAAAGCUCUAUCAGCAGGAAAGAAAAUGACGGUACCUGACUAAGAAGCCCCGGCUAACUACGUGCCAGCCGCUGC